Non-coding RNA from Erpetoichthys calabaricus (reedfish), 131 nucleotides. NCBI's taxonomy places the organism in Eukaryota, Metazoa, Chordata, Cladistia, Polypteriformes, Polypteridae. The record is from Ensembl.
GUGGUUGGUCUUCAUAUGACAGCUUCCUAAGUGAUGUGGAGCUGCCUUUAACCGCCACAGACAUUAAAGUUGGUUCUUGCCGACAGGGUCUGUCAAGGUUUCAGGCUGCCUGUGCGAUGGGACCAUACAUU